GCGGAGGAAAAGAAACUAACAAGGAUUCCCCUAGUAACGGCGAGUGAAGCGGGAAGAGCUCAAAUUUGUAAUCUGGCCCUUUCAGGGUCCGAGUUGUAAUCUCGAGAAGUGUUUUCCGCGCCGGACCGCAUACAAGUCUGUUGGAAUACAGCGUCAUAGUGGUGAGAGCCCCGUAAUUGAUGUGGAUGCCCGGUGCUUUGUGAUACACUUUCGAAGAGUCGAGUUGUUUGGGAAUGCAGCUCAAAUUGGGUGGUAAAUUCCAUCUAAAGCUAAAUAUUGGCGAGAGACCGAUAGCGAACAAGUACCGUGAGGGAAAGAUGAAAAGCACUUUGGAAAGAGAGUUAACAGUACGUGAAAUUGUUGGAAGGGAAACGCUUGAAGUCAGACUUGCUAUUCGGAAUUCAGCCGCAAGGUGUACUUUUCGAUUUGCAGGCCAGCAUCAGUUUUUGGGGGUGGAAAAGGGUGGAGAGAAGGUAGCAACCUUGGUUGUGUUAUAGCUCUUUACUGGAUUCAUCUUUGGGGACUGAGGAUCGCAGUGCGCAAUUUACUUUGCAAACCUUUCGAGGUUUUCGUACUUAGGAUGCUGGUGGAAUGGCUUUAAACGACCCGUCUUG
Molecule: ribosomal RNA, 614 nt
Filed under: Glaciozyma watsonii
Lineage: Eukaryota; Fungi; Basidiomycota; Microbotryomycetes; Kriegeriales; Camptobasidiaceae
Description: partial large subunit ribosomal RNA
Rfam family: Eukaryotic large subunit ribosomal RNA
Source: RNAcentral